GAAAACAAGAUAUUUUGCCAUUGUCUGCCUUUACUUUACAUUCCAGUUCUUACAAAGUGUGACCUGAGACCCAUCUCACCCCCAUUUUCCAAAAGGCACCUGUCAUUAUCUCGACAUUCCCUUGGCGAAUCCUUUCUCUCCUUUGCCCCAUCCAUCUGGGCAAGAGUGGGAUUCUUGACCCGCUGAUCUGAGGUAGCUCUCUCCUCCAAACAUUCCCUCCUGGGCAGCUGACUGCCCUUUGCUCCUCUCUGGGCACCCCAGCAAGAGCUUCUGGUGGACAACACUGCUUGCUCUCAGAGGCCUCUCCCACCUCCAGUCCCUGACCCCCUGAGCCCUACGGUCCUUCCAGGUCGUAUGUCAUAUAAGAACAAAAUGCUUCCUUACGACUUCCCUACCAUCAAGCUCUGAGCUCAUGUUACUUAAAUACCUUCACAUCCUAUUCUCCAGGUUCAUUUUCCUCAAUCCAUAUUGAUUAAUUUAUAUAUUUUCCUGCCAAAUAUCACUUCCUCUCACCAGUGAUGGUGAUAAUAACUAUUACUUGUUGAGUUCUUACAAUUAUCAGACACUCUGCUAACACAUUGUCUCACUGAGUCUUCCUAGAAGCCAGCAAGGUAGGUAAUAAUAUUCUAUCCUUUUUGUUUUUCAGAAAACAAAAAUGAGGCACAAAAAGGUUAAGUAACUUGCCUAAGAUUGCACAGCCAGAAUCAGAUCAGGUAUUUCUAACCACCACAUCAUACAAGCCCACUGUAGAUGCUUUCUAUUUUCUAACAAUAAAGGGAAAGGAAAAAUGGAAGUGAUAUUUAAUGUAUACCUAGUAUGUACCACGCCAGGCACUGUAGUAGGAACUUUUAACUAUAUUGUUUAAUACUGAAAACAUGACCAUGAAACAUGUUUUGUCAUUAUGGUUAUAUAGUUGAGGAAACUGGCUCCAAGCAGUUCACUUCAGGACAUGCAUUAGUAAAUUUAAAAUCCAGAGCCAGUCAGAUGUUUGACUUCAGAAUCUGUGGUUUCCACUCAGUGUUUACCAAAAUGUGAGGGACACGCCACUAGAAGUAUGUAAGAUGAUUUUAGUUGAGGCAGAAUCAAAGCCUAAAGGGAGUUAAAUUAUUCAGAGAGGAAUUUGUUCCCUUUUCAAUUAUAUUUCCUUCAAUUGUAUAUAAUUUGCAACUAGACUUCCACACCUCUAACACUGGCAAUUUUUCCUUUUAAUCAAACAGGAACCUUCCAGGCAGAUAACAGUAUCUGGGUAGGAUUUGAUAACACUGCUUUAUUUUCAUUGCGUUUAUUUUUCUUCCUAUUCUCUAUUUACCAGUGCAAAUGAUACUUGUUUUUUAUCUACCACAGGGGUAUAUGGUUUUAUUUUUUAAAAGUUGAAUUGAUCUAAAUAGUUCUAUAAAAAUGCAUAAGGAGUGGCCAAACUAGUAAAGGUAGUGUUUACAUCAAUAAAGUGUGAAAAAUGACAAAAUUAGGCUGCUUCCAUCAUUAAUGAAUGGGUAUUCAUUGUGAUGGAGAUAUAGGAAAAUCUUGAAGUAGUUUUGGAAUAAUCACAGAAGAUUAGAUCAAAUUAUGUUCAGUAGAGCUUCAUUCGUUCAUUCAAUCAAAUCAUUCAUUCAACAAAUAUUUGGGGACUUCCUCUAAGCAUUAGCUAUGCAAGAAGUUGUUUCAGUAUAAAAUGUGAUAUGCAAGAGCAUAGGAUAUAGUGACAGGUGAGCCUGGGUUCAAAUGCUGACUAUCAGAAUUAGAAGUCCUUUGACUGUGAGUCCAUCCUUUAAUCUCUGUGAGCUUCAGCCUCCUUAUCUAUAAAAUGAGGUUGGACUCUACCUCUCAGUAUUAUGGUGGAGGCUGGACGAGGUGUUACAUGUGAAGUGCCUAGAUCUGUCAGGCAGUAAGCACUCAGCAAAUGUUCGUUCCUUUCUUUCGUAUCUUUAAUUCUUGGGAAAGUGGUAAUUAAUAUGUGGAAUGCAUGGUCAAUCUUUAUCCUCCAGGAUAUUUUACUAACCAGGACAGUCCAUUCUCUGAUCAGAUUUCACAGUAUAAGUAACUUUUGGGUUUUCUGCUGCUUGAAUGAUUCCCAUUGCAGUUGUCCUCUGAUUCAAGUUUUUCUUCCCACUAUCCUGCAAAUCUUUGAAGGCAAAGACCAGGCUGAGUUUGCUUUGAUAUAUCCAGUAUGUAGUACAUACCAAGUUCUAGUUAAGAGCUUGGCAAAUAAAUGACAGAAAGAGAGAGAGGGAGAAAGAAAGGAUGACCCUGGUUAUAUAUUCACCUCUGCUUUCCUUUAGUCAAACUGCAACUUGCCUGUGAUCACACAAAUUGACCUUCUUAAUUGCCACACAGCACACUUGAUAGUGAUAUCCACAAACCUGAGAUUUAUUUCAAAUGACCAACAUUUAUAGCUUGCCUCUAUUCCCUGUUUUAACUAUGGCUAGAACAUUAAUGUGCCUUUCUACAGAGAGGAGUUCAUGUGUGCCCAGCAUUCUUUUGUGCAGGAGGUUGCACAGGGGCAGGGCUAUAAGGUGAGUGUAUGUGUGUACAACAGUGCUAAUCAUAUCUGCACUUGCUGUGCCAGGUUGCAAAGAACCUGAAAUAAUGCAUGUAAAAAGAGAUUUCCUGUAUGAUUCUUUUAUUCCACUGCACACUUGGAAUAGCUCCCACCUCGGAAUCUCCGUAAUGGGACCCUCUUCAGGGCAGAUCCCUUUAUGAUGGAAGCCAUCCUUAAAUACUUGAGUUAUUAAGUCCCUUAUAACUUAAUGCAGAGCCACCUGAUAUCAAAUCCAAUCUGUCCUUGAAGAAUAAUAUUCAACUAUUCAUCAAAUAUGUAGUAAUCAUAUGCCAAGUUCAAGAAUUACCUACUACUUUUACUUUUCUAUAAUUCUUCUCUUGUUUAAUUACAUAUGACACAUAGGAAACAGGGAAGAAAAUGGGACUUACAAGGAAGGUUAGUUGCUGAGUCUGCGUAACAACAAGAAUUAAAUAGAUGACUUUGGGUAGAGACUCUGUUGAAUCUAUUUAGCAAAUUUAUUUACUGCACUAUGCUUUCAUUUCAUGAGAAAGGGAACGCCUAUAACUUCCUCUGGAACUCCCCUUAGUUUACAGCAGAACUCCCCUCUUUACUGCCUGGGCCUUUGAUAAAAGUCCAUUUUCUUCCUGUUUUUCCUGUCUGCUUUGUAAGAAUAUGUGCCAGGAGUGAUAGGCAUAAAGUAUGCUCCUUUUCAGACAGGCGACAUUUUUCAGCUAAUAUUUACAAGAGAGAACAGCAAUUAGCAAACAUGAAUCAUGUGUCUGAAUAGCUCAGAAUACCUAGAAGAUUAAUUGUUAUUUGGUCUAAUUUUGCCCCAAGUAAAGUUUCUAAGACGUGCAAAUUUUGAGCUUGAUUACUCCAUACAAAAUAAGGGGUUUAGGAAAUGCAAUACAUUUUUGAAAUCCUGAAACAUUCUUGCUUAUUGUAAGUUACAGAGUCAAUCAAAACACUGUUGGAAAGAAUUCUAUGAAGAGGUUUUUUUCUCAAGCCCAGCUACAAAUAAGAUUCAUUAAGCAGAGGCCCUCAAUCUUGGCUAACAUUGGAAUCACCUGGGAGGCUUUUAAAACACACUAAUGUCCAGACACUACUUUGGAUCUGUUAAAAUUAAAUUAUUUUGGGGAUGAGGUCAGCAUCAUUAAAAAUUUUCCUUUCCUGGGAGCUUCUCAUGUGCAGACAGUAUUGGGAACCAUUAGUUACACAAAUUAACAUUUGCACUUGCAAACAUCUUUUACCACCUUGCCCUUCAAAGUGUUGUCCUCAGCUUCACCUGGAAGCUAGGUAGAAGUGCAGAAUUUCAGGCCUACCCCAGACCUAGAGAAUCAGGAUCUGCAUUUAACAAGGUCACCGUGAUGUGCAUGCAUAUUAAUGUUCGAGAAGUAGAGUUAUAACAUUGGUCUGCAUUUGGACUGUCACUGGGAAGUAGAGUAAUAGUUGAUAUUUCUUAAAUGCAGUAAGUCAGACACUGGGCUAGCCCAUCAUUUCAUUUCAUGCUCCCAACAACUCUGCAAGGUAGAUGUUGCUAUCCACAUUUUACAGAUGGGGAAACUGAGACUUAAAGAAGUGAUGUAACUUGCCCAAGGUCAAAGAAUGGUAGCUCAUGGAACCAGAAUUCAAAUUCAUCUCUGUGUCUUCAAUGCAUAUUUAUUUCUGUGCUACCAAUGACUGCAGUUAUGACUAUAUAUCCAUUGGCAUGUGUACACUACAUCCAUGAGUGAGGUGUUUUUUUUUGUUGUUGUUUUGUUUUUUUUGCUGUAUGUUAAGGAAAAGAUGUUUGGUUUUCUAUUUUACAUGCCACAUGGUUAUUAAAUUAAGCUUCAAUCUAGCAUUGAGCUCCUGAAGGUAUUAGACAAAGGACAAAACUGGAAGGUUUCCACAGCUACAAAAUUAAGCAGACAACACAGGCUUUCCAUUCAUUUGGGGCCCUUAACUAAACUAAAGGGCAAAACACUUGGCAAAAGCAUGAAAAAUUUAUACAUGCAGGUACUUUUGCUAGAUUAGAACACUUAACUUGAUGCAUUUCAAAAAUUCUUGAGGGAGCUUUGCAUUUUAUUGCAACCAGGCAUCAAUGGUAGUCAGCACCUGUCACAUCUUCAAGAAACUUUCACACAAUAAAUCAUUUGCAUUGCCCAAGACAGCUUCCUCUUUAAGCUAAGUUUAUAUUUUAUCCCCCACAUUUAACAACAGAAGUGUAAGUUUUUUCAGACUUGCCACAUAAUGUACUUGAGAAGUACGGGUGGGGUGGGAGGUGCUUUACAUAGCCACAUUCUUCAGAAAACCCUGAAGUUCCUGGUUUAGGACAAAAUUCUGCUCUAUGCACCUGACUCAUGUUCUGCUCAGUGUAGGAGGACUGCAUGGAGACACGUUUUAGCAUAGAAAUCCUUUCCCCAACCUAAUUCUUCUCCUUUGUAUAUCUCAGCAGUCAGCAGAAGUAGUUUUGGAUCUAAAGAUAGGCCAAGUGGAGUAACCCAGGCUGAGGUCUGUGCCCCAGAAUGACCUCAGACAUCACCAUGGUCAUUGUGGUCCCCCUGGUUUUCAUCUACCUCUGGAGUAUGAAGAGAGAAGAAAAACAUCAAUGAAAAAAGAAAGACCAGUCUUUCCUCUAAGACAUGACAAGGUACCCUCUUCUGAAAUCAAAACUCUUUAAUUAAAGAGACAUGAAAUGACAAGAUUUUUAAAAAAAUAUCCUGAGGAGAAGGCAUUCUAAUUUAGAAACCCUAGUAAGAAGGAGGCGGCUCUGAUGUGCCAGGAUUUGGAUUCCUGAAACAUGGCCUGAAUUGAAUAUUCCUCUCAGGUAUUCCCCCAGGUUUCCCACAUGGUAUGAAAGCAUUCCCACAUGGUAUUGGAUUGCCUGUUUUUUGUUUGUUCAUUUGUUUUUUAUCUGUUUCCUGAAGAGUGUGAACGUGAGUCUUAUUAUUCUACGUGUGUCAAAUGAGUACUACAAUGCAUGGAACAAAAGGCAUAUUCAAUAAAUAUCUGGUGAAUGUUUAUUAAGUAACAAUAUGAUUUGGAUGAAUGGAAGUGAGGAAUUAGGAUACAUUUUGUAAAUAUAAUGUUAUUCAUUAAUUCAUUUAUU
This is an RNA transcript of Cercocebus atys (sooty mangabey), 5591 nucleotides long. RefSeq lists it as uncharacterized. The record is from RefSeq and is a predicted model, not a curated record. The transcript is spliced from 3 exons. NCBI's taxonomy places the organism in Eukaryota, Metazoa, Chordata, Mammalia, Primates, Cercopithecidae.